RNAcentral lists this transfer RNA (70 nucleotides) under Pangasianodon hypophthalmus (striped catfish). RNAcentral's name for it is "tRNA-Lys". Lineage: Eukaryota; Metazoa; Chordata; Actinopteri; Siluriformes; Pangasiidae. The record is from RNAcentral.
GCCUGGAAAUCUAGUGGUUAGGCCUCUGAGCUCUUACCGCCAUGGUCCGGGUUCAAUUCCCGGCCAGACA